AAACUUUUGGGGAACUGUGUUCCCCUGAAGUUUGGAGGGUGAGGAGUGAAAGAGGUUGAGAAGAAUGAGCUGGCUGGGUUGGACAUUCAGAGGUGACAAUGGCCAGAUCAACCUUGAUGGAGUCUUGUUCUGUCACUAGGCUGGAGUGCAGUGGUGCGAUCUCAGCUCACUACAACCUCCGCCUCCUGGGUUCAAGUGAUCCCCUGCCUCAGCCUCCCGAGUAGCUGGGACUACAGGCACGCGCCACCACACCUGGCUAAUUUUUUGUAUUUUUUUAGUAGAGAUGGGGUUUCACCAUGUUGGCCAGGAUGGUCUCGAUCUCUUGACUUCAUGAUCUGCCCACCUCUGCCUCCCAAAGUUCUGGGAUUACAGGCCUGAGCCACUGCACCUGGCCGCUAGUUCUUAAGAGGGAGGUAUGAGACGUAUGUAUAGACUAAGUGAAAGGAAAAUAUCUUGGGCCCCCAAAGUCACUAAGCUAAAAGGAAAAUUCAAGCUGGAAACUGCUCAGAGCAAACCUGCUUCCCAUUCUAUUCAAAGUCAUCCCUCUGCUCACUGAGGUAAAUGCAUAUUCUGAUUGGCUCCUUUGUAAAAGCUAAUUAGAAACUCAAAAGAAUGCAACUAUUUGUCUCUCACCUACCUGUGACCUGGAAGACCCCUCCCUGCUUCAAGUUCUCCCCACCUUUCUGGACAAAACCAGUGUACUUCUUACUAUAUUGAUUAAUGUCUUGUGUCUCCCUAAAGUGUAUAAAACCAAGUUGUGCC
Molecule: long non-coding RNA, 762 nt
Filed under: Pongo abelii (Sumatran orangutan)
Lineage: Eukaryota; Metazoa; Chordata; Mammalia; Primates; Hominidae
Description: lincRNA
Source: RNAcentral